RNAcentral lists this ribosomal RNA (254 nucleotides) under uncultured bacterium. RNAcentral's name for it is "partial 16S ribosomal RNA". It matches the Rfam family "Bacterial small subunit ribosomal RNA", at positions 524 to 776 of the family's 1533-position model. The record is from RNAcentral.
UACGUAGGGCGCAAGCGUUGUCCGGAAUUAUUGGGCGUAAAGAGCUCGUAGGCGGCCUGUUGCGUCCGCUGUGAAAUCCCGGGGCUCAACCCCGGGCCUGCAGUGGAUACGGGCUGGCUAGAGGCAGGCAGGGGGAGAACGGAAUUCCUGGUGUAGCGGUGAAAUGCGCAGAUAUCAGGAGGAACACCGGUGGCGAAGGCGGUUCUCUGGGCCUGUACUGACGCUGAGGAGCGAAAGCGUGGGGAGCAAACAGG